AGCAUAUUCUAUUUACCCCUCUAUUUUUUCUUGAGGCCAAACAAGGAAGGGCUUAUCUUCUCAGUGUUACAAAUCUUAACUUCCUUGUUGCAAACUUCCUCGAAGGCCGAGCAUGGGAAAGUCCUCGACAGUCCUGUCGGGGACUUGAAGACGAGCUUCGUCAGAUCAUGAACGUAGGCCUCCCCCACGUUGAGCCACACCAGGAGCUCCCUCGCCUUUACACCGGUCAGUUUCUUGAUCUUCAGCUUCUCCACGUACGCAGUGAUCUCAGUAUCAUAUGACACCUGUUUUCCGAUCUUUUCGAAGCAAUGCUGGAUCUUCUUCUUCUGCUUGAGCCAUACGAAGCCGGUCUGCUCGA
This 358-nucleotide unclassified non-coding RNA is filed under the name Hevea brasiliensis (rubber tree). Lineage: Eukaryota; Viridiplantae; Streptophyta; Magnoliopsida; Malpighiales; Euphorbiaceae. The record is from RNAcentral.